CAACGUAGGUAACCUGCCCAUGUGUCUGGGAUAACUGCUGGAAACGGUAGCUAAAACCGGAUAGGUAUACAGAGCGCAUGCUCAGUAUAUUAAAGCGCCCUUCAAGGCGUGAACAUGGAUGGACCUGCGGCGCAUUAGCUAGUUGGUGAGGUAACGGCCCACCAAGGCGAUGAUGCGUAGCCGGCCUGAGAGGGUAAACGGCCACAUUGGGACUGAGACACGGCCCAA
Molecule: ribosomal RNA, 228 nt
Filed under: uncultured bacterium
Lineage: Bacteria
Description: partial 16S ribosomal RNA
Rfam family: Bacterial small subunit ribosomal RNA
Source: RNAcentral